This 321-nucleotide ribosomal RNA is filed under the name uncultured bacterium. RNAcentral describes it as "bacterial SSU rRNA". It matches the Rfam family "Bacterial small subunit ribosomal RNA", at positions 29 to 351 of the family's 1533-position model. The record is from RNAcentral.
AUUGAACGCUGGCGGAAUGCUUUACACAUGCAAGUCGAGCGGCAGCGCGGGGGCAACCCUGGCGGCGAGCGGCGAACGGGUGAGUAACAUAUCGGAACGUACCCCGUCGUGGGGGAUAACACAGCGAAAGCUGUGCUAAUACCGCAUACGACCUGAGGGUGAAAGCGGGGGAUCGCAAGACCUCGCGCGAUGGGAGCGGCCGAUAUCGGAUUAGCUUGUUGGUGAGGUAAAGGCUCACCAAGGCGACGAUCCGUAGCUGGUCUGAGGAGACGACCAGCCACACUGGAACUGAGACACGGUCCAGACUCCUACGGGAGGCAG